This 243-nucleotide ribosomal RNA is filed under the name uncultured bacterium. Its description in RNAcentral is "partial 16S ribosomal RNA". It matches the Rfam family "Bacterial small subunit ribosomal RNA", at positions 28 to 258 of the family's 1533-position model. The record is from RNAcentral.
GACGAACGCUGGCGGCGUGCCUAACACAUGCAAGUCGAACGAGGCCAACCUUUCGGGGUUGAGUCGAGUGGCGGACGGGUGAGUAACACGUAAGCAAUCUAUCCCGUUGCGGGGGACAACGAGGGGAAACCUUCGCUAAUACCGCAUGGACAAGAGAUUCGAUGAGUCUUUUGGGAAACGUGGCCUCUUUACAAUGCUACGGCGACAGGAGGAGCUUGCGGGCUAUCAGCUAGUUGGNGAGGU